This 428-nucleotide ribosomal RNA is filed under the name uncultured bacterium. RNAcentral's name for it is "bacterial SSU rRNA". It matches the Rfam family "Bacterial small subunit ribosomal RNA", at positions 355 to 776 of the family's 1533-position model. The record is from RNAcentral.
UGGGGAAUUUUGGACAAUGGGGGCAACCCUGAUCCAGCAAUGCCGCGUGAGUGAAGAAGGCCUUCGGGUUGUAAAGCUCUUUUGUCAGGGAAGAAACACCGGCUCUAACACAGUCCGGGAAUGACGGUACCUGAAGAAUAAGCACCGGCUAACUACGUGCCAGCAGCCGCGGUAAUACGUAGGGUGCAAGCGUUAAUCGGAAUUACUGGGCGUAAAGCGUGCGCAGGCUGUUUUGUAAGUCAGAUGUGAAAUCCCUGAGCUCAACUUAGGAACUGCGUUUGAAACUACAAGACUAGAAUAUGUCAGAGGGGGGUAGAAUUCCACGUGUAGCAGUGAAAUGCGUAGAUAUGUGGAGGAAUACCAAUGGCGAAGGCAGCCCCCUGGGAUAACACUGACGCUCAUGCACGAAAGCGUGGGGAGCAAACAGG